GCUGUUCUGAUAAUCACAUACCUCUCCGUGGUGAGCAGCAGGCAACGAUCUUAUGGUCGGCGAAGAUGUGAGA
This 73-nucleotide ribozyme is filed under the name unclassified sequences. RNAcentral describes it as "HDV ribozyme from F. prausnitzii". It matches the Rfam family "HDV ribozyme from F. prausnitzii". The record is from RNAcentral.